Molecule: ribosomal RNA, 238 nt
Filed under: uncultured Actinomycetales bacterium
Lineage: Bacteria; Bacillati; Actinomycetota; Actinomycetes; Actinomycetales
Description: partial 16S ribosomal RNA
Rfam family: Bacterial small subunit ribosomal RNA
Source: RNAcentral
CGAGUGGCGAACGGGUGAGUAACACGUGGGUGAUCUGCCCUGCACUCUGGGAUAAGCCUGGGAAACUGGGUCUAAUACCGGAUAGGACCAUGCUUUAGUGUGUGUGGUGGAAAGUUUUUCGGUGUAGGAUGAGCCCGCGGCCUAUCAGCUUGUUGGUGGGGUAAUGGCCUACCAAGGCGGCGACGGGUAGCCGGACUGAGAGGUUGGUCGGCCACAUUGGGACUGAGAUAUGGCCCAG